UAUCAGUUCUGGGGUGAGUCUUAAAA
RNAcentral lists this non-coding RNA (26 nucleotides) under Rattus norvegicus (Norway rat). The record is from RNAcentral. Lineage: Eukaryota; Metazoa; Chordata; Mammalia; Rodentia; Muridae.